CGCCUGGGGAGUGCGGCCGCAAGGUUAAAACUCAAAUGAAUUGACGGGGGCCCGCACAAGCGGUGGAGCAUGUGGUUUAAUUCGACGCAACGCGAAGAACCUUACCUGGCCUUGACAUCCAGAGAACUUUCCAGAGAUGGAUUGGUGCCUUCGGGAACUCUGAGACGGGUGCUGCAUGGCCGUCGUCAGCUCGUGUCGUGAGAUGUUGGGUUAAGUCCCGUAACGAGCGCAACCCCUAUCCCUGGUUGCUAGCAGGUAAUGCUGAGAACUCCAGGGAGACUGCCGGUGACAAACCGGAGGAAGGUGGGGAUGACGUCAGGUCAUCAUGGCCCUUACGGCCAGGGCUACACACGUGCUACAAUGGCGCGUACAGAGGGCUGCCAACUCGCGAGAGUGAGCCAAUCCCUUAAAACGCGUCGUAGUCCGGAUCGGAGUCUGCAACUCGACUCCGUGAAGUCGGAAUCGCUAGUAAUCGCGAAUCAGAAUGUCGCGGUGAAUACGUUCCCGGGCCUUGUACACACCGCCCGUCACACCAUGGGAGUGGAUUGCACCAGAAGUAGUUAGUCUAACCUUCGGGAGGACGAUUACCACGGUGUGGUUCAUGACUGGGGUGAAGUCGUAACAAGGUAACCGUA
RNAcentral lists this ribosomal RNA (635 nucleotides) under uncultured Marinobacter sp. RNAcentral describes it as "bacterial SSU rRNA". It matches the Rfam family "Bacterial small subunit ribosomal RNA", at positions 870 to 1504 of the family's 1533-position model. Lineage: Bacteria; Pseudomonadati; Pseudomonadota; Gammaproteobacteria; Pseudomonadales; Marinobacteraceae. The record is from RNAcentral.